This 2904-nucleotide ribosomal RNA is filed under the name Escherichia coli. Its description in RNAcentral is "23S ribosomal RNA". It matches the Rfam family "Bacterial large subunit ribosomal RNA". The record is from RNAcentral. Lineage: Bacteria; Pseudomonadati; Pseudomonadota; Gammaproteobacteria; Enterobacterales; Enterobacteriaceae.
GGUUAAGCGACUAAGCGUACACGGUGGAUGCCCUGGCAGUCAGAGGCGAUGAAGGACGUGCUAAUCUGCGAUAAGCGUCGGUAAGGUGAUAUGAACCGUUAUAACCGGCGAUUUCCGAAUGGGGAAACCCAGUGUGUUUCGACACACUAUCAUUAACUGAAUCCAUAGGUUAAUGAGGCGAACCGGGGGAACUGAAACAUCUAAGUACCCCGAGGAAAAGAAAUCAACCGAGAUUCCCCCAGUAGCGGCGAGCGAACGGGGAGGAGCCCAGAGCCUGAAUCAGUGUGUGUGUUAGUGGAAGCGUCUGGAAAGGCGCGCGAUACAGGGUGACAGCCCCGUACACAAAAAUGCACAUGCUGUGAGCUCGAUGAGUAGGGCGGGACACGUGGUAUCCUGUCUGAAUAUGGGGGGACCAUCCUCCAAGGCUAAAUACUCCUGACUGACCGAUAGUGAACCAGUACCGUGAGGGAAAGGCGAAAAGAACCCCGGCGAGGGGAGUGAAAAAGAACCUGAAACCGUGUACGUACAAGCAGUGGGAGCACGCUUAGGCGUGUGACUGCGUACCUUUUGUAUAAUGGGUCAGCGACUUAUAUUCUGUAGCAAGGUUAACCGAAUAGGGGAGCCGAAGGGAAACCGAGUCUUAACUGGGCGUUAAGUUGCAGGGUAUAGACCCGAAACCCGGUGAUCUAGCCAUGGGCAGGUUGAAGGUUGGGUAACACUAACUGGAGGACCGAACCGACUAAUGUUGAAAAAUUAGCGGAUGACUUGUGGCUGGGGGUGAAAGGCCAAUCAAACCGGGAGAUAGCUGGUUCUCCCCGAAAGCUAUUUAGGUAGCGCCUCGUGAAUUCAUCUCCGGGGGUAGAGCACUGUUUCGGCAAGGGGGUCAUCCCGACUUACCAACCCGAUGCAAACUGCGAAUACCGGAGAAUGUUAUCACGGGAGACACACGGCGGGUGCUAACGUCCGUCGUGAAGAGGGAAACAACCCAGACCGCCAGCUAAGGUCCCAAAGUCAUGGUUAAGUGGGAAACGAUGUGGGAAGGCCCAGACAGCCAGGAUGUUGGCUUAGAAGCAGCCAUCAUUUAAAGAAAGCGUAAUAGCUCACUGGUCGAGUCGGCCUGCGCGGAAGAUGUAACGGGGCUAAACCAUGCACCGAAGCUGCGGCAGCGACGCUUAUGCGUUGUUGGGUAGGGGAGCGUUCUGUAAGCCUGUGAAGGUGUACUGUGAGGUAUGCUGGAGGUAUCAGAAGUGCGAAUGCUGACAUAAGUAACGAUAAAGCGGGUGAAAAGCCCGCUCGCCGGAAGACCAAGGGUUCCUGUCCAACGUUAAUCGGGGCAGGGUGAGUCGACCCCUAAGGCGAGGCCGAAAGGCGUAGUCGAUGGGAAACAGGUUAAUAUUCCUGUACUUGGUGUUACUGCGAAGGGGGGACGGAGAAGGCUAUGUUGGCCGGGCGACGGUUGUCCCGGUUUAAGCGUGUAGGCUGGUUUUCCAGGCAAAUCCGGAAAAUCAAGGCUGAGGCGUGAUGACGAGGCACUACGGUGCUGAAGCAACAAAUGCCCUGCUUCCAGGAAAAGCCUCUAAGCAUCAGGUAACAUCAAAUCGUACCCCAAACCGACACAGGUGGUCAGGUAGAGAAUACCAAGGCGCUUGAGAGAACUCGGGUGAAGGAACUAGGCAAAAUGGUGCCGUAACUUCGGGAGAAGGCACGCUGAUAUGUAGGUGAAGUCCCUCGCGGAUGGAGCUGAAAUCAGUCGAAGAUACCAGCUGGCUGCAACUGUUUAUUAAAAACACAGCACUGUGCAAACACGAAAGUGGACGUAUACGGUGUGACGCCUGCCCGGUGCCGGAAGGUUAAUUGAUGGGGUCAGCGCAAGCGAAGCUCUUGAUCGAAGCCCCGGUAAACGGCGGCCGUAACUAUAACGGUCCUAAGGUAGCGAAAUUCCUUGUCGGGUAAGUUCCGACCUGCACGAAUGGCGUAAUGAUGGCCAGGCUGUCUCCACCCGAGACUCAGUGAAAUUGAACUCGCUGUGAAGAUGCAGUGUACCCGCGGCAAGACGGAAAGACCCCGUGAACCUUUACUAUAGCUUGACACUGAACAUUGAGCCUUGAUGUGUAGGAUAGGUGGGAGGCUUUGAAGUGUGGACGCCAGUCUGCAUGGAGCCGACCUUGAAAUACCACCCUUUAAUGUUUGAUGUUCUAACGUUGACCCGUAAUCCGGGUUGCGGACAGUGUCUGGUGGGUAGUUUGACUGGGGCGGUCUCCUCCUAAAGAGUAACGGAGGAGCACGAAGGUUGGCUAAUCCUGGUCGGACAUCAGGAGGUUAGUGCAAUGGCAUAAGCCAGCUUGACUGCGAGCGUGACGGCGCGAGCAGGUGCGAAAGCAGGUCAUAGUGAUCCGGUGGUUCUGAAUGGAAGGGCCAUCGCUCAACGGAUAAAAGGUACUCCGGGGAUAACAGGCUGAUACCGCCCAAGAGUUCAUAUCGACGGCGGUGUUUGGCACCUCGAUGUCGGCUCAUCACAUCCUGGGGCUGAAGUAGGUCCCAAGGGUAUGGCUGUUCGCCAUUUAAAGUGGUACGCGAGCUGGGUUUAGAACGUCGUGAGACAGUUCGGUCCCUAUCUGCCGUGGGCGCUGGAGAACUGAGGGGGGCUGCUCCUAGUACGAGAGGACCGGAGUGGACGCAUCACUGGUGUUCGGGUUGUCAUGCCAAUGGCACUGCCCGGUAGCUAAAUGCGGAAGAGAUAAGUGCUGAAAGCAUCUAAGCACGAAACUUGCCCCGAGAUGAGUUCUCCCUGACUCCUUGAGAGUCCUGAAGGAACGUUGAAGACGACGACGUUGAUAGGCCGGGUGUGUAAGCGCAGCGAUGCGUUGAGCUAACCGGUACUAAUGAACCGUGAGGCUUAACCUU